AUGAACAGGGACAACUCUUUUGAAGAAAUUUCUGAAAGUGUUAACAUCACUGUGAACAAAGUCAAGUUGCUGGGGAAGGUGCUCUCAGUGGCUCUAGAGAGAGAAAGGACAGAUGAGAUGGAGAAGCGGCUGUUUCACUCACAGGGUGUAAGCCAGAAGUGCAUGCCAGAUGGUAGUGCCAGUGGAAACACCCUGUUGGAAGCUUUGGAUUGUAUCCUGCCACCAACUCAUCCAACUGACAAGUCUCUGCGACUGACCCUCCAGGAUGUCUAUAAAAUUGGUGGUAUUGGGACUGUCCCUGUGGGCCGAGUGGAGACCGAUAUUUUAAAACCUGGCAUGGUGGUGACCUUUGCUUCAGUCAAUGUGACAACAGAAGUAAAGUCUGUUGAAAUGCACCAUGAAGCUUUGAGUGAAGCUCUUCCAGGGGACAAUGUGGGCUUCAAUGUGAAGAGCAUGUCUGUCAAAGACGUUAGAUGUAGCAACGUUGCUGGUGACAGCAAAAAUGACUCACCAAAUGAAGCUGCUGGCUUCACUGCUCAGGUGAUUAUCCUGAACCACCCAGGCCAAAUUAGUGCUAGCUAUGCUCCUGUACUAGACUGUCACACAGUUCACAUAGCAUGCAAGUUUGCUGAGCUUAAAGAAAAGAUUGCUCGUCGUUCUAGCAAGAAGCUGGAAGUUGGUCCUAAAUUCUUGAAACCCGGUGAUGCAGCCAUUGUUGAUAUGGUUCCUGGCAAACCCAUGUGUGUUGAGAGCUUCUCUGACUAUCCUCCCACUGGGUUGUUUUGCUGUUUGUGACAUGAGGCAGACAGUUGCCGUGGACAAGAAGGCUGCUGGAGCUAGCAAGGUCACCAAGUCUGCCCAGAAAGCUCGAAAGGCAAAAUGA
Molecule: non-coding RNA, 883 nt
Organism: Myodes glareolus (Bank vole)
Lineage: Eukaryota; Metazoa; Chordata; Mammalia; Rodentia; Cricetidae
Source: RefSeq, a predicted model, not a curated record